RNAcentral lists this ribosomal RNA (254 nucleotides) under uncultured bacterium. RNAcentral describes it as "partial 16S ribosomal RNA". It matches the Rfam family "Bacterial small subunit ribosomal RNA", at positions 57 to 304 of the family's 1533-position model. The record is from RNAcentral.
GCAAGUCGAGCGGCAGCACGAUAAAGCUUGCUUUAUUGGUGGCGACCGGCGCACGGGUGAGUAACGCGUAUGCAACCUACCUUAUACAGGAAGAUAGCCCGAAGAAAUUCGGAUUAAUACUCCAUAGUAUUAUUAGAUAGCAUUAUUUAAUAAUUAAAGCUCCGGCGGUAUAAGAUGGGCAUGCGUCCUAUUAGCUAGAUGGUAAGGUAACGGCUUACCAUGGCAACGAUAGGGAGGGGGUGUGAGGGGAUGGU